UUUACAGCCGCCUGCCCGGAGCGGCCCCGCAACGGCCAGGGCCCCGCCGCCGCCGCCGCCGCCGCCAUGCCCGUGCGCUUCAGGGGACUGAGUGAAUAUAAGAGGAACUUCAAAUGGAAAAAGUCAGAUCUGUCAAAGUUUUGUAACCCUUCACAAGAGCAAAAAUCCUCAAGGGCUGGACUUCGAUCUGAUCAACUAGGAAUCACAAGAGAGCCAAACUUCAUUUCCAAGAGAAGGGUGCCUUACUUCAACCCACAGAUUUCAGAGUCCUUUGAAUGGAGAGGGGACAGCGAUUUGGAGGGAUAUUUGGAUGACGCUCCAGAAAUUGAAGGCGCUGGGCCUGCAGAGUCACACACAAAUAACCACAGUAAUGAUAGAAAUCUGGAAAACAUUGAAACACCUGAAGCACCCAGGCUUCCUAAAAAAAUUCGGUCCCACUCUGCAGAUUCUAGAAUUGAAUCAGCCAUCACCCUUGCAGAAAACAGUAGGAAGAAGUUGUCACCCCCAACUCCAGUGAAUCAAAAAGCAGUAUUUUUACCUCCCAAAAAGCACUUAGAAAAAAUGGAUAAUGGGUUUCAAAGAGUCCUGCAAAAGAAAUCAGGCAUGAAUAUUUCACCAUCAAAUAGUUUCCCCAGAAAUUCUGAAUAUCAAAGGCAGUUUUUAUGGAAAUCCCCCCCAAAAAACUCUCCAAUUCUUGCUGCUGACCAGGUUAUUCACAAUACAAGUAAAUCCAUUCCCCCGUUUAAGUCUUCCGCAAUUAUCCCUGAAACUGAAUAUGAGAGAAGUUUCAAAGUUUCUCCUCCAGCAGUGGGACCAAAACUGAGGUGUGAUUUGGAAGAGACAGAAUUUCCUGUAUGUGCACCAGUAAAUAUCUCCCCUGAAAGAAAGAAUGAAAGGAAAGAAACAUUCCUAAAGCCAGCGGGAGAUUCACCAAAACAAGGGAAAUCAGAAACAGAACAGAAACCAUCUAAACAAAAAAAUAAGCAACACAUUAUUCAAAAGCCCCUCUCUUUACAUACAAGUCUUGGGAAGGUGAACACUGAAUAUAGAUCAAAAUUUUUGUCCCCAGCUCAAUAUUUAUACAAAGAUGGAGCUUGGUCACGUAUCAGAAGAAACAUACCAGAUCAAGAUUCUCAAAACAUCCUAAAUUACAUGUGGUUUAUGGAGGUGAAGGAACUUCGAGAGAAAGCGGAGGCUUACAGGCAACGAGUACAGGGAACCCACUUCUCUCGGUAUCAUCUGAAUCAGAUUCUUUCAGAUAACAACAGACUUUGGGACGUGUCCUCAAAUUCCAGUUCCGAAGAAACCAUUAGUAACACCAUCAGAGCGCUAGAUCUAGCUGGAGCUCCUGAGAAACAGAUGUCUGCAAGCCAAAACGUGCUGCCACAACCUGACUCAAUAGAACAGUCCCAACAGAACAAUACAGAGAAGUUAGGCAUGUCAGAUGCCUCCACUGUACCAGUCAGAAGACGUCUAGCUUGGGGUGAACAAGACAGUACUGAACAAGUGGAAAAUCAGCCACCAGGAUUAGAGGAAGAUGAAGAAAAAGAAAAUAAACAGGAGUCAGCAAAGGCUCAGAAAUUGGAAGCAAAUGAUAAGAAUCCUACUGUGGACAACAAAAUAAAAGGAGAAAAUGCCUCGUUACUGAAGCCUUCAGCAGAUAGGUCAGAUUCUUCUUCAGUAUCAUCAGGAAAGCGGGGCAGGCUUUCUACUCCAAAGUUGAAAACACUUGGUGGAGCCCAAAGAACUCAUCAUGAUCUUACCACGCCAGCUGUUGGAGGUGCAGUUUUAGUGUCUCCAUCUAAAAUGAAGUCUUCGUCCCCACAGCAGAGAAAGAAGAAGUCUUUAGAAACACACUAUUCUUCAUCCAAACAAGCCUCAGGAGAAAGAAAAUCCAGAGGGUUUGAAGGGGAAACAGAAGCUGUAUCACUACUUGCCUCCCCAGCUGCUGGAUUGAAAACAUUAGAUCCUUUGCCUCUGCGGAAGGAUUCUUGGCCCACUGUCAAUACUUCUGAUGAAAGAGCUUCUCCCACUUCAGCACAUCCAACUACAGCUCCUGUGCAGAAAUCAGUCAAAAGUACUAGUCCCUCCUACUGGAGUCCAUGCUGUCGCAUUCAAGGGACUCUCAGGGAUCCAGAGUUCCAGCAUAAUGGUUGUUUUUUUUUUAAAUAGGAAUUUUCCAUCCACUGAGUUUGUGUGGUAAUUGCUGUCUUGCAAAUGUGCAGGGCCCAAAAUGUUGUCACUUCAACAAAGAAUGACUGCCUAUUGCAGAGAAACUCUUCUCUACCAGAAUGUUUCAUCUUGCUAGAACUGUACUAUUCUCCACCUUAAUGAGAUACUUUGAGUUACACUGUUAUGGGGAGAUCUGGCCUUUGUUCUAUGCUUAGGUUCCAGUAACUAUCUGUCUAAUAGAGCUUUCUUGAUUUUAGUAAGGAAUUACUAGGUACCUCAAAUAAUUGGUUCUGUGUGAACAGUUUUGUUAUCUCUUCUGUAGGCAGCAGGGGGAAAACCUAGUACAUUUCCCUGUUGGGUUACUCACACAGAUGAGUAAUUGGACACCUCCACAGCAACAUCAUACCGCUCUACAGUACACCCUGUGUAGGGAGAAGAGCAAGGACAGUAGGCUAGGUGUGGUACAACACUUAUUUUCCCCUUUCACUAUAGCUUUCGAAGGGCAAUCAGCUGAAAAGCUGAGGCUGUGAUGUUUACACGCCCUUUUAUGUGCUGUGGAGCACCCACCUUUGUAGGGCUGGUAUGUUCAGGAGAGAGUUGCUGGCAGAUGAAAAUCUGUCGUUAUAGUCCCAUCUGUGAGGAUGGCCCUGGCCUCUACAGAAUCACCAGACAUCUAUGUGGAUUUUGAGAGAACUGUAGAUUUUUGAGGACCCUUGUGUGUGGAAUGGGAGAGAAGGGGACAAUCCAGCCUUCUCUAUCUUUAAAAGGUCUGUUGGAAUCUCAGCAGCAUUUCCUGGUCCCUGUGGCUGUGUCAACACUGCACAGGAACAUUGCGAGUCCAAAGAUGAGCCAUCUCCAGUUACCGCUGCAGGAAAGAAACUAUAAUGAUGAAGAUGACAGAUUGUCCCAGAUCUCUGCUCGCU
Gopherus flavomarginatus (Mexican gopher tortoise) is the source of this 3095-nucleotide RNA transcript. It is a transcript of the gene named Mdm1 nuclear protein, with no coding region annotated. The record is from RefSeq and is a predicted model, not a curated record. Lineage: Eukaryota; Metazoa; Chordata; Testudines; Testudinidae. The transcript has 15 exons.